GUGCCAGCCGCCGCGGUAAUACCGGCAGCCCGAGUGAUGGCCGAUUUUAUUGGGCCUAAAGCGUCCGUAGCUGGCCGCGCAAGUCCGUCGGGAAAUCCAUCAGCCCAACUGAUGGGCGUCCGGCGGAAACUGCACGGCUUGGGGCCGGAAGACCCGAGGGGUACGUCCGGGGUAGGAGUGAAAUCCCGUAAUCCUGGACGGACCGCCGAUGGCGAAAGCACGUCGCGAAGACGGAUCCGACAGUGAGGGACGAAAGCUAGGGUCUCGAACCGGAUUAGAUACCCUAGUAGUCC
This 293-nucleotide ribosomal RNA is filed under the name uncultured bacterium. RNAcentral describes it as "partial 16S ribosomal RNA". It matches the Rfam family "Archaeal small subunit ribosomal RNA", at positions 455 to 747 of the family's 1478-position model. The record is from RNAcentral.